GGACUACCAGGGUUUCUAAUCCCGUUUGCUCCCCUGGCCUUCGCGCCUCAGCGUCAGGAACUGUCCAGAGAUCCGCCUUCGCCACUGGUCUUCCUCACGAUAUCUACGCAUUUCACUGCUACACCGUGAAUUCCAAUCUCCUCUCCAGUCCUCAAGCAAAGCAGUAUCGAGUGCAGUUUCAGAGUUGAGCCCUGAGAUUUCACACCCGACUUGCCCCGCAGCCUACGCGCCCUUUACGCCCAAUGAAUCCGAACAACGCUCGAGACCUCUGUAUUACCGCGGCGGCUGGCAC
Molecule: ribosomal RNA, 292 nt
Filed under: uncultured bacterium
Lineage: Bacteria
Also listed under: 1 other name
Description: partial 16S ribosomal RNA
Source: RNAcentral